This 942-nucleotide non-coding RNA is filed under the name Perkinsus marinus ATCC 50983. Its description in RNAcentral is "Eukaryotic small subunit ribosomal RNA". It matches the Rfam family "Eukaryotic small subunit ribosomal RNA", at positions 18 to 957 of the family's 1831-position model. Lineage: Eukaryota; Perkinsozoa; Perkinsida; Perkinsidae. The record is from Rfam by way of RNAcentral.
CAGUAGUCAUAUGCUUGUCUCAAGAUUAAGCCAUGCAUGUCUAAGUAUAAGCUUUAAACGGCGAAACUGCGAAUGGCUCAUUAAAACAGUUAUAGUUUAUUUGGUGAUCGAUUACUAUUUGGAUAACCGUAGUAAUUCUAGAGCUAAUACAUGCGUCAAGGCCCGACUUCGGAAGGGCUGCGUUUAUUAGAUACAGAACCAACCUAGGCUCCGCCUAGUCCUUGUUGGUGAUUCAUAAUAACCCGGCGAAUCGCACGGCUUGUCCGGCGAUGGACCAUUCAAGUUUCUGACCUAUCAGCUAUGGACGGUAGGGUAUUGGCCUACCGUGGCGUUGACGGGUAACGGGGAAUUAGGGUUCGAUUCCGGAGAGGGAGCCUGAGAAACGGCUACCACAUCUAAGGAAGGCAGCAGGGCGCGCAAAUUACCCAAUCCUGAUACAGGGAGGUAGUGACAAGAAAUAACAAUACAGGGCAAUUCUGUCUUGUAAUUGGAAUGAGUAGAUUUUAAAUCUCUUUACGAGUAUCAAUUGGAGGGCAAGUCUGGUGCCAGCAGCCGCGGUAAUUCCAGCUCCAAUAGCGUAUAUUAAAGUUGUUGCGGUUAAAAAGCUCGUAGUUGGAUUUCUGCCUUGGGCGACCGAUCCACCUUUCCUACGGGAUUGGUUGGUAUCAGGUUUGACCUUGGCUUUUUCUUGGGAUUCGUGCUCACGUACUUAACUGUGCGUUGACCGGGUUCCAAGACUUUUACUUUGAGGAAAUUAGAGUGUUUCAAGCAGGCUUUAUGCCAUGAAUACAUUAGCAUGGAAUAAUAGGAUAUGACUUCGUCAUAUUUUUGUUUGUUUCUAGGACUGAAGUAAUGAUUAAUAGGGACAGUCGGGGGCAUUCGUAUUUACUGUCAGAGUGAAAUUCUUGGAUUUGUUAAAGACGACUACUGCGAAAGCAUUUG